RNAcentral lists this long non-coding RNA (250 nucleotides) under Manacus vitellinus (golden-collared manakin). RNAcentral's name for it is "lncRNA (ENSMVIG00005012461.1)". Lineage: Eukaryota; Metazoa; Chordata; Aves; Passeriformes; Pipridae. The record is from RNAcentral.
AGAAAUUCAAAUCUCUUUACGCUUGUAAAACGAUGAUUCCCCAACUUUGCCUGUAGACCUUGGAAAAUGGUAAUGGGAGGAAGUGAUCUCCUGAUCUCCAGCUGUGGUUCUGUGUGCUGCUCUGAUCCCACCGAUGACUGGAUUUGAGAGUAAAGCACGGUUGGUUCUGCCUCUGCCCUGUGUCGGAUUUCACCCUUCUGCCCUUGCUCUGAAGAUUGAAAUAUCUGAGGACCCUUCUGCUCUCAGGUAA